GAUGAACGCUAGCUACAGGCUUAACACAUGCAAGUCGAGGGGCAGCAUUUUAGUUUGCUUGCAAACUGAAGAUGGCGACCGGCGCACGGGUGAGUAACACGUAUCCAACCUGCCGAUAACUCCGGAAUAGCCUUUCGAAAGAAAGAUUAAUACCGGAUAGUAUACGAAUAUCGCAUGAUAUUUUUAUUAAAGAAUUUCGGUUAUCGAUGGGGAUGCGUUCCAUUAGUUUGUUGGCGGGGUAACGGCCCACCAAGACUACGAUGGAUAGGGGUUCUGAGAGGAAGGUCCCCCACAUUGGAACUGAGACACGGUCCAAACUCCUACGGGAGGCAGCAGUGAGGAAUAUUGGUCAAUGGGCGAGAGCCUGAACCAGCCAAGUAGCGUGAAGGAUGAAGGCUCUAUGGGUCGUAAACUUCUUUUAUAUGGGAAUAAAGUUUUCCACGUGUGGAAUUUUGUAUGUACCAUAUGAAUAAGGAUCGGCUAACUCCGUGCCAGCAGCCGCGGUAAUACGGAGGAUCCGAGCGUUAUCCGGAUUUAUUGGGUUUAAAGGGAGCGUAGGUGGAUUGUUAAGUCAGUUGUGAAAGUUUGCGGCUCAACCGUAAAAUUGCAGUUGAAACUGGCAGUCUUGAGUACAGUAGAGGUGGGCGGAAUUCGUGGUGUAGCGGUGAAAUGCUUAGAUAUCACGAAGAACUCCGAUUGCGAAGGCAGCUCACUA
RNAcentral lists this ribosomal RNA (715 nucleotides) under uncultured Bacteroidales bacterium. Its description in RNAcentral is "bacterial SSU rRNA". It matches the Rfam family "Bacterial small subunit ribosomal RNA", at positions 28 to 731 of the family's 1533-position model. Lineage: Bacteria; Pseudomonadati; Bacteroidota; Bacteroidia; Bacteroidales. The record is from RNAcentral.